GGAGAGGUGGCUGAGCGGUUGAAAGCGGCUCCCUGCUAAGGAGUUAUAGGGGUUAACUCUAUCGGGGGUUCGAAUCCCCCCCUCUCCG
RNAcentral lists this transfer RNA (88 nucleotides) under Xenococcus sp. PCC 7305. It matches the Rfam family "tRNA". From Rfam's summary of the family: Transfer RNA (tRNA) molecules are approximately 80 nucleotides in length. Lineage: Bacteria; Bacillati; Cyanobacteriota; Cyanophyceae; Pleurocapsales; Xenococcaceae. The record is from Rfam by way of RNAcentral. RNAcentral also lists the same sequence under 1 other name.